AGUAACGCGUGGGUAACCUGCCCUAUACACAUGGAUAACAUACUGAAAAGUUUACUAAUACAUGAUAAUAUAUAUUUACGGCAUCGUAGAUAUAUCAAAGUGUUAGCGGUAUAGGAUGGACCCGCGUCUGAUUAGCUAGUUGGUGAGAUAACUGCCCACCAAGGCGACGAUCAGUAGCCGACCUGAGAGGGUGAUCGGCCACAUUGGAACUGAGACACGGUCCAAACUCCUACGGGAGGCAGCAGUA
This 247-nucleotide ribosomal RNA is filed under the name uncultured Peptostreptococcus sp. RNAcentral describes it as "partial 16S ribosomal RNA". It matches the Rfam family "Bacterial small subunit ribosomal RNA", at positions 109 to 355 of the family's 1533-position model. The record is from RNAcentral. Lineage: Bacteria; Bacillati; Bacillota; Clostridia; Peptostreptococcales; Peptostreptococcaceae.